CAUCACUCUUCAAGUAAGGUAACAUCUUAAGGUACUUGACUAUUGCUUUUAUAAACUUCUCCUUGGUUCUGGCAUUCACACAAAAUAAAGAGACAAACAUGUAUGAUCUGUAACUCCAAAUUAACCAACUCAAUUAAUUCAACAAGUUUAGUCCUUUAAUCUUUGUUCUUAGUACUACCUUCAUGAUCCCACACUCCUAAUCAUAUAAGCUAAAGUAUUGCACAUUCAAUCUUUGGAAGAUAUAAACAAAACAUAAAUAUAAAUAGAUUAUCUUUGCAUUAGGUUCAGCCAUCUGAUCUGACAAAUGUUUUAAAUGCUACACUCAUAAUCUUAUUAUCCAUCAACUUUGUCUUGCUCACUAUUCUUAAGGUUAGAGAAGAACAAAUACACUUUUGGUUCUGUUGGUGUUUUCCACCAACAGGGCCCAUGCACUUGAUCUCUGCCUUGUCUCUAUGAACAGGUACACUUCAAGCAAAACAUGGAGGAGUUUUACAAAUCCGAGACUCCACCAAGUGAAGGACCUGGAUCUACAAACACAAACACACUGAGCAGGAUAUUGCCAACACCGCACUUCGAACUGCUGGGCAAUCAAAGAAUAUAGGUGACACCGUAUAAGAAGUGCAGACGUCAAGGUCCACACCUAAUCAAAUGAUGCACCUAAAGGAUGAAGACAGUGAGAAGUCUUGUCCAGAAGAUUUAAAACUUUGGAUCCUUGUCGGAGGAGGUCAAGAUCGUCGACUCAAGUCGCCUUUCCUAAUCAAGAAGGACGACCAUGGUGUUCCAAGCAUUGAGUGCACAAUCAACAGAUACUCUUUUUAGAAGACACUCUACGACACCGGAUCUAACGUCAACAUAAUGGCCGCAGUCACUUAUCAGCUCCUGCAUGGAACCAUGCUCCUACAACCAAGAUACAUUCAGCUCCAGAUGACGUUCAGAUCAUUGACAUGGGAGAAGACGAGUACGAUCCACCCAUCAUCCUUGGAAGACCAUUCCUCAACACUAUCAAAGUUGUCAUCUACAUUAGAAUCGGAGAAGUCCACGUGUACAUUCCCUCUGAGAAGGUACACCGCUAUUUUACUGACCCUAACUAUAUAGUUGAAGACUAUAAGCAGGUCAGGACAAGAAGAAGACAACGCAACCGAAACUAGAGGAGGCAAAUCAUCAAGGACGGAUGGGUAGACUACGAAGGAGAAGUGAUAAGGUCUGAAGACAUAUAGCUUGAACAGAACUGUCCUGAGGAGACCGUAGCACCGAGUCAGGUGUGGAGAGAGAAGAUAGUUAUAGCCGCUGGAACCACCGACUACGCCAUCCAGCGAAUCCCAAGACAACUGAGAAAACGGAGAGUCCCGUUCGGAGGACUUAAAAGCACCAAAUGCCUUGCCAAGAAGUAAACUUGGUAGUUAUCUUUUUCCUUUCAAUUAUUCAAUUAUAGUUUGCUUAGUUAAUCAGGUUCAUAUCAUCUCGAAAGGAAAAUAAAAAUGUUAAAAAUAGUAAGCCCCAUGUGAGUAUGCUCAUGGCAUAAAACCCAUAGGUACAUUCACUGUGGUGGCAUAAAAAUAAAAUAAAUAAGUUUUCAUCUUACAAUAAAAAUAUAAAAAUAAUAAGUGCAUGAUCCUGCUAAAUAAGUAAUAUUUAUUGAGGAGGCUCAACAAGAUAAAGGCUAGAUAUUUAUGCUAACACUUAACCAGUUCCACAAAGCUUUGUUGUCUAUUUGAGCUCCACAGGAUUCAAGGAUCAAAAAAGACUAGCAGACGGAGGACAUCCUAAUCAUUGUCAGGGUGCUACCGACUUUCAAAUACACCUCCUUCACCUGCUAGCUACAUCAGAAGAAAUUACGUCAAAAUCCAGCUUGGGGGAGAGCACCCCCAUUUAUCCAGCUAAGUGUUUCUACUCACGUUUAAACUUUAUUCAAAUAAUAAAAAGAUGCAUAAUUAUAAAAAAACCCAAAUAAAGAUUUUGUGCUUAUAUAUAUAUAUCUUUGCUUAGUUUGCUAAAUAAAUAAAUAAAUAAAGUUUGCUAUGAACCCUCAUGAUAAACUCUCACAUGGAAAUGACGAAUAGUUGCUCUGCCAUGACUAGUUCUUAAAAUUGAAAUCUCUCUCAAGUUUAGGCAUAACUAUUAUGAAUUAAGAUUUGCUCUAAACCUGAACUUGUGGGAAGAGUACUUGAUCUAAAGUCUAAGUCGUUAACGGAUAUGAUAUGGGAAGGUUGAGCUCCUGUUUAUUUGUUCCUAGAGAUGCUAGAAUUCUGGAGAAUUUUAUCUUUGAAAAUCUUUAAAAUAACACAUGAUGAGUUCCUGUAUGAUGAGAGUUUAAAUUCCUACCACAGCCAUAUAUACAUGCUUGCUAGACUUUGAGCCACACAUUUACUUUUUACUGCUUAUGAGCAUUGAGUAUGGUCAAGCUGUGUAGACCCUUAGGAGCUUGUCAUGUGGUUAAAAUAAAGAUUCACUUGCAGGUUCACUCGUAUAUGUUGCUUCUACUCCGGAAGUACGCAUCCACAUACAUCCACUCAUUUCCAUCUCCAAAUUCACCUAAAAUUAUUCUACUCCUAUCCGGGAGAGAAUAGCCAAAAACAUUUCUGUUUUUCCCUAUGAACUAAAUGCUCGAGUUAUCUUGGUUACUACCACUUGCUAUAUUAUUUCAGGAGAUGGGUGCUCUAAAAAAAGAAGAAAGAGAAAAGAAGAAAAAAAAGAAGAGAGAAAUAUACGAGGAAAUAAAAAGGGGCAAGUGCCUGGAACCUCGAGGAAAAGAAAAAGUGAGACGAGAGGUAAAAAUGGACAAGUGUCCGACACUAGAAUUAGGGGUACAAGAUAUCCACCUGAGAGGAAAGAAAAAGAAAAUAUAGAGCAUCUCAUUCUCCUCAAAAAGCUUCAAAGUGCAAGAAAGGUAUGUAUCCCCUUAAAAGAGCAAAAGUAGAAUUAGACUUUCACCAUUGUUAUCACCACCAUCACCAUACACCAUUCAUUCGCCACACAUGCACAUCUUGAUUUGACUUAUUGACUUGUUUCUUUCGAUCCAUGGUUUGACUAUGCAAUAAAUGUCUUGUAAGUAUGUAUUAGCUGUCUCCCACCUAUGAGCUCCAGAUAUCAAAACCUUAUUAGAGUAGGGGGAGAGAGAAAGCAAUAUCACUAUGCCUCAUACCACAAAUACUACAUACUUUGAGAGAAGGCAUAUACCAUUAUUGCCUUGGUAAGGAUCCAAAAAUACCACAAAAGAGAGAUUUGAGAGUCAUACAUGGAAUCUCUGAGUUUUAUUUGAAAACCUUCAAAAACUCCAGAGCUAUAGCUGAUCAAGAAUAAGAGACAUGGCGCUUGACUUGACUGUUCUAUCUUUUAACUGCUCAAGACACAAGUGACGGUUACAAGCCCCAUGGUGAAAGGUAAAAUGAGUAAGUUUUAAGUCUUAACAGUUUAUUCUAACUCAGGGAUGAGAUCUUGCUUGAAUGCGUGUGUACUUUUAAGACAUAAAACCACUCCAGAAACUCUUGAGUUCAUCCUUGCUCAGGGACGAGCAAGAGGUAAGCUUGGGGGAGUUGUUGACGGUCCUUAAGUACCAAAUAUAAUCAUCAAAUAAAUAAAGAAAAGGAUCCAAAUGCAACCAACACCUAGACUAAGGGUUUUAUCUGACAGAAUUCCACAAGUUUUGGUGUUUGUCUAUUUCUACAAGGGGUUUAUCAGGAAUUAUGAAGGAAAGACCCAC
Molecule: long non-coding RNA, 3700 nt
Filed under: Sorghum bicolor (sorghum)
Lineage: Eukaryota; Viridiplantae; Streptophyta; Magnoliopsida; Poales; Poaceae
Description: long non-coding RNA (SBIC_LNC005062)
Source: RNAcentral